RNAcentral lists this long non-coding RNA (329 nucleotides) under Marmota monax (woodchuck). The record is from RNAcentral. Lineage: Eukaryota; Metazoa; Chordata; Mammalia; Rodentia; Sciuridae.
UCUUCCAGCCACAGCAUGAUGUUGAAGAAGUUCAAGAGCUUCUGGUGUCUGAUGUUACCUGGAGAAAUACAAGUGCAUCAGGGAAAGUGUAGAUGACACCUUUUCCUAGCCCAGUGAAUGAAAUAAGAGCAGCAGUGUGACAAGAAGCUGGUGGGAAGAGAAUUCAUGUUUCAGCUGAAGAACAAGUAGCCCUGCUCAAGGAAGGAGGACAAGGAGCAUGUCCCCUGAGGUAGUCAAUGUGAAGCUCCUGGGGCAAGGUCUUUAACUGGUGGCCAUUCUUUCCUAGUCAUGUCCAUGCAUUUGACACUCAGAGCCAACAAACAUUCCCC